Molecule: non-coding RNA, 25 nt
Filed under: Mus musculus (house mouse)
Lineage: Eukaryota; Metazoa; Chordata; Mammalia; Rodentia; Muridae
Source: RNAcentral
UGGCUGCUUAAUGUUUUUGUUCAUU